AAGGUCUUAGCUUAAUUAAAGCAUCUGGGUUGCAUUCCAGGUAAUGUAGGGUAGAAUCCUGCAGGUCUUA
RNAcentral lists this transfer RNA (70 nucleotides) under Batrachuperus yenyuanensis (Yenyuan stream salamander). Its description in RNAcentral is "tRNA-Ala". It matches the Rfam family "tRNA". Rfam says of the family: Transfer RNA (tRNA) molecules are approximately 80 nucleotides in length. Their secondary structure includes four short double-helical elements and three loops (D, anti-codon, and T loops). Further hydrogen bonds mediate the characteristic L-shaped molecular structure. tRNAs have two regions of fundamental functional importance: the anti-codon, which is responsible for specific mRNA codon recognition, and the 3' end, to which the tRNAs corresponding amino acid is attached (by aminoacyl-tRNA synthetases). tRNAs cope with the degeneracy of the genetic code in two manners: having more than one tRNA (with a specific anti-codon) for a particular amino acid; and 'wobble' base-pairing, i.e. permitting non-standard base-pairing at the 3rd anti-codon position. The record is from RNAcentral. Lineage: Eukaryota; Metazoa; Chordata; Amphibia; Caudata; Hynobiidae.